CCCCGGAGUCUGGGAUAGCUGACCGAAAGGUCAGGUAAUACCGGAUGACAUCCCCUUAUCGCAUGAUGAGGGUCUCAAAGGAGCAAUCCGCUCUGGGAGCAGGCGAUAUCGUAUCAGGUAGUUGGUGAGGUAACGGCUCACCAAGCCGACGACGCGUAGCUGGUCUGAGAGGAUGAUCAGCCACACUGGGACUGAGACACGACCCAG
This 207-nucleotide ribosomal RNA is filed under the name uncultured bacterium. RNAcentral describes it as "partial 16S ribosomal RNA". It matches the Rfam family "Bacterial small subunit ribosomal RNA", at positions 129 to 334 of the family's 1533-position model. The record is from RNAcentral.